Molecule: long non-coding RNA, 1305 nt
Organism: Magnolia sinica
Lineage: Eukaryota; Viridiplantae; Streptophyta; Magnoliopsida; Magnoliales; Magnoliaceae
Exons: 3
Source: RefSeq, a predicted model, not a curated record
UACCAGCAUUAGCCAGCGUUUGUACUUCGACCCUUCGAAAACCCCCCAAAUCCUCUCUCUUGAUCAACUCUCCCCUUCUCUCUUUGAUCAAUCUCUCUCCCUCUUCCUCUCCCUCUUACAUCGGCCAGCGACGUUCUACCGCAACCCAGCGGCGCAUCAGCCGCAUUGUGACGGAGAUCCAACUAUACCUCAGCAUCUAACAAAUAGGGUUUCUACCCUGGAAGAAAAUAUUCGAAGAAAAGAUAACUGACAGUAUGAAUGAUGACAUAAAAAAUUCAGUUCAUGCAGGCAUUCCUGCUCAGAAUUAUGAAGUUGACAUAUUGCCAAGAUAAAAGGAAGCUUUAUCCCUGGGCUUGAGUUCGUACAAGCAUCACUUGCAGAAAACAAAGAUAACUACAUCAACAGGUUCUGUUUUCAAAAUCAGUAUGUGGACAUUUUCACCAAGGCAUCAUCAUCUCACCACUUCAAGCACAUUAUCGGCAAGCCUGGCAUAUAUGAUAUCCAUGCAUCAGCUUGAGAGGGAGUGUUAGAGUACAUGGUGCUUUCUUAUAUGUGCAGAGCUCCAUCCCGGCAUAUUCUAGCAUACAUUGCUCUAUGGUACUUCGAAAUACCCUAUACUUUUUGUCUCUUUUGGAUUUAUUUUUUGCUUAUCAUUGUAACGACCUUGAUUAUUAAAAUUCCACACGUUCUCCCCAUUUCCCCUCUUUCUUCCUUUCCCCAGAUUACAGACUGAAAUAACGAUUAUCUUCACACUAUAUAUUUCUGCAUGCCGGGACCAUUCGAUGGUGAGUUUAUGGGGGUACAUAAUCCAAUCAUUGCAUGGAUAAAUUGCAAGAAAUUGGAAUGUCUCAGUUACCCAUGAAAAUAUCCAACCAACCAUACUUUCAAUUUCAUACCCGGAUUUCUUGGCCAGCAAAACAGAGAAGAAAGCUUAGCUUGCUAAACAUGGAAUAGGCAGGAUGCCAGCAAUGGCAGGAACAGUUGAUGUAACCAGAUUGCAGAUCGCUACAUAUGCUGUCCCAUCAAAGCUCUGGUCAUUGUGUUUGAGAUCAGGCCAUAUAUCUUUUUCAAAUUCUUGCAAGCAGAAACAAAUGGUUGAUACUUUUGACCUUAACCGAGAAGAAGGAAUCAAAUCUGCAUACAUCAGAUGAACUGAUGGUAAGUCCUGAAUCCACUGAAAGUUGCACAUGUAGCUUGACGCCCAUUCACAUUUACUUUCUGCGGAAGCACAUGGGGAUUUCUAUGUCCAUAUGUGGUGGAGGAGACCAGAAGUCAUUUUUAGAAGUAAAUGUGUUUCUAUAAAAA